GACGCACGCUGGCGGCGUGCCUAUACAUGCACGUAGACGCUGAAGGAGGAGCUUGCUCUCUGGAUGAGUUGCGGACGGGUGAGUGACGCGUAGGUGACCUGCCUGGUAGCGGGGGAUGACUAUUGGAGACGAUAGCUAUACCGCAUGACAGUAGAUGUCGCAUGACAUUUGCUUAAAAGGUGCGAUUGCAUCACUACAGAUGGAACCUGGCGUUGUAUUAGCUAGUUGGUGAGGUAACGGCUCACCAAGGCAACGAUACAUAGCCGACCUGAGAGGGUGAUCGGCCACACUGGGACUGAGACACGGCCCAGACUCCUACGGGAGGCAGCAGUAGGGAAUCUUCGGCAAUGGACGGAAGUCUGACCGAGCAACGCCGCGUGAGUGAAGAAGGUUUUCGGAUCGUAAAGCUCUGUUGUAAGUAGAAGAACGAGUGUGAGAGUGGAAAGUUCACACUGUGACGGUAUCUUACCAGAAAGGGA
This 479-nucleotide ribosomal RNA is filed under the name Streptococcus sp. oral taxon G11. RNAcentral describes it as "bacterial SSU rRNA". It matches the Rfam family "Bacterial small subunit ribosomal RNA", at positions 28 to 493 of the family's 1533-position model. The record is from RNAcentral. Lineage: Bacteria; Bacillati; Bacillota; Bacilli; Lactobacillales; Streptococcaceae.